CCUACGGGAGGCAGCAGUGGGGAAUCUUGCGCAAUGGGCGAAAGCCUGACGCAGCCAUGCCGCGUGAAUGAUGAAGGUCUUAGGAUUGUAAAAUUCUUUCACCGGGGACGAUAAUGACGGUACCCGGAGAAGAAGCCCCGGCUAACUCCGUGCCAGCAGCCGCGGUAAU
RNAcentral lists this ribosomal RNA (169 nucleotides) under uncultured bacterium. RNAcentral's name for it is "partial 16S ribosomal RNA". It matches the Rfam family "Bacterial small subunit ribosomal RNA", at positions 338 to 524 of the family's 1533-position model. The record is from RNAcentral.